This 73-nucleotide transfer RNA is filed under the name Trichonephila inaurata madagascariensis. It matches the Rfam family "tRNA". Rfam says of the family: Transfer RNA (tRNA) molecules are approximately 80 nucleotides in length. Lineage: Eukaryota; Metazoa; Arthropoda; Arachnida; Araneae; Nephilidae. The record is from Rfam by way of RNAcentral.
AUCCCUGUAGUGCAAUGGAUAGCGCGUUGGACUUCUAUUCCAAAGGUCGUGGAUUCGAAUCCUACCUGGGAUC